Mauremys reevesii (Reeves's turtle) is the source of this 644-nucleotide long non-coding RNA. RefSeq lists it as uncharacterized. Lineage: Eukaryota; Metazoa; Chordata; Testudines; Geoemydidae. The record is from RefSeq and is a predicted model, not a curated record. The transcript has 3 exons.
GUGGGAAAGAACCAUGGGGAUUUGUAACCUGUUUCGCUCCCAUGCCUGGUGCUUCAGUGAUGCAGAGAAGGGCUGAUGCAUUGGUUGAUUUCCCCACCUUUUAAUCUACUCUCUUCUUCUCUUUUAACAGUUAUUCUAAGGGCCCCCCGUGCAUCAUAUGAGCAUUCUUCUGGGUGCAGAUGGCAUCAGACCUGCACCUGAAUAAAUAAUAGGGACUGAAAUAUGCAGACACUAAAGUUCUGCAGCCAAAUUCUCAGGAACCUUCCUCUUCCAUGUAGGAUCAGGAUUUUGUUUUGAAUUGUUUUAUUUUUUUAAAAAGUGCUAAGCAGAUGCUACCCUGUAAGAAGAGGAAUCAGAAGCAAAAACUGAAAGACUGUUACUAAAACCAAUGAACAGCUGCAGAGAGUGGAGACCCAGCAAAGCAGACAAAUGAAUACUGUGAAUAAAUAACCUGAAAGCAAAUGGGGAAGAAAACCUCCUCUGGGUAAUUGUGGCUCUUGGGACCAAAAUCAGGUUCCUGGGAAAGGAUCCCCAAAGGAGGUGUAAGGAUCCGGGACUCUAGUGUCUGCCAGAAGCUUCAGCCACCUUCACAGGUUAGAGCUCGCCCUCCAUUGCGGAGGUGAAGACCAGAUGGGAGCUGCUGG